RNAcentral lists this ribosomal RNA (460 nucleotides) under uncultured bacterium. Its description in RNAcentral is "partial 16S ribosomal RNA". It matches the Rfam family "Bacterial small subunit ribosomal RNA", at positions 338 to 795 of the family's 1533-position model. The record is from RNAcentral.
CCUACGGGAGGCAGCAGUGAGGAAUAUUGGUCAAUGGGCUUACGCCUGAACCAGCCAAGUCGCGUGAGGGAAGACUGCCCUAUGGGUUGUAAACCUCUUUUGUCAGGGAGCAAUUGGCGCUACGUGUAGCGUUAUCGAGAGUACCUGAAGAAAAAGCAUCGGCUAACUCCGUGCCAGCAGCCGCGGUAAUACGGAGGAUGCGAGCGUUAUCCGGAUUUAUUGGGUUUAAAGGGUGCGUAGGCGGAAUGCCAAGUCAGCGGUAAAAUCGCGGGGCUCAACCUCGCUCCGCCGUUGAAACUGGCGUUCUUGAGUGGGCGAGAAGUAUGCGGAAUGCGUGGUGUAGCGGUGAAAUGCAUAGAUAUCACGCAGAACUCCGAUUGCGAAGGCAUCUCACGAAUCCGCGAUUGACGCUGAUGCACGAAAGCGUGGGUAUCAAACAGGAUUAGAUACCCCAGUAGUC